CGUGCUAAUCUGCGAUAAGCGCCGGUAAGGUGAUAUGAACCGUUAUAACCGGCGAUACCCGAAUGGGGAAACCCAGUGUGACUCGUCACACUAUCAUUAACUGAAUCCAUAGGUUAAUGAGGCGAACCGGGGGAACUGAAACAUCUAAGUACCCCGAGGAAAAGAAAUCAACCGAGAUUCCCCCAGUAGCGGCGAGCGAACGGGGAGGAGCCCAGAGCCUGAAUCAGCAUGUGUGUUAGUGGAAGCGUCUGGAAAGGCGCGCGAUACAGGGUGACAGCCCCGUACACAAAAGCGCAUGUGCUGUGAGCUCGAUGAGUAGGGCGGGACACGUGGUAUCCUGUCUGAAUAUGGGGGGACCAUCCUCCAAGGCUAAAUACUCCUGACUGACCGAUAGUGAACCAGUACCGUGAGGGAAAGGCGAAAAGA
This 426-nucleotide ribosomal RNA is filed under the name Salmonella enterica subsp. enterica serovar Orion. Its description in RNAcentral is "partial 23S ribosomal RNA". It matches the Rfam family "Bacterial large subunit ribosomal RNA", at positions 57 to 522 of the family's 2925-position model. The record is from RNAcentral. Lineage: Bacteria; Pseudomonadati; Pseudomonadota; Gammaproteobacteria; Enterobacterales; Enterobacteriaceae.